This 93-nucleotide ribosomal RNA is filed under the name Histomonas meleagridis. RNAcentral's name for it is "partial 5.8 ribosomal RNA". The record is from RNAcentral. Lineage: Eukaryota; Parabasalia; Tritrichomonadida; Dientamoebidae.
CGAAGAAGAACAUUGCAUAAUGUGAUAAGCGACUAGAUUAGCUCAAUUUGUGAUAAGUUCGAUCUUUGAAUGCAUAUUGCGUAUUUAUUAAUU